RNAcentral lists this ribosomal RNA (1460 nucleotides) under uncultured Bordetella sp. RNAcentral's name for it is "partial 16S-23S ribosomal RNA intergenic spacer". It matches the Rfam family "Bacterial small subunit ribosomal RNA". Lineage: Bacteria; Pseudomonadati; Pseudomonadota; Betaproteobacteria; Burkholderiales; Alcaligenaceae. The record is from RNAcentral.
AGUUCGAUUAUGGCUCAGAUUGAACGCUGGCGGGAUGCUUUACACAUGCAGUCGAACGGCAGCACGGACUUCGGUCUGGUGGCGAGUGGCGAACGGGUGAGUAAUGUAUCGGAACGUGCCUAGUAGCGGGGGAUAACUACUGCAGAAAGCGUAGCUAAUACCGCAUACGCCCUUCGGGGAAAGCGGGGGACCUUCGGGCCUCGCACUAUUAGAAACGGCCGAUAUCGGAUUAGCUAGUUGGUGGGGUAACGGCUCGCAAGGCGACGAUCCGUAGCUGGUUUGAGGAGGACGACCAGCCACACUGGGACUGGACACGGCCCAGACCUACGGGAGGCAGCAGUGGGGAAUUUUGGACAAUGGAAACCUGAUCCAGCCAUCCCGCGUGUGCGAUGAAGGCCUUCGGGUUGUAAAGCACUGGCAGGAAAGAAACGGCACGGGAUGUCACCGUGCAACUGACGGUACCUGCAAGUAAGCACCGGCUAACUACGUGCCAGCAGCCGCGGUAAUACGUAGGGUGCAAGCGUUAAUCGGAAUUACUGGGCGUAAAGCGUGCGCGGAGUUCGGAAGAAAAGAUGUGAAAUCCCAGAACGCUUUUUGGAACUGCAUUUUUAACUACCGAGCUAGAGUGUGUCAGAGGGAGGUGGAAUUCCGCGUGUAGCAGUGAAAUGCGUAGAUAUGCGGAGGAACACCGAUGGCGAAGGCAGCCUCCUGGGAUAACACUGACGCUCAUGCACGAAAGCGUGGGGGCAAACAGGAUUAGAUACCUGGUAGUCCACGCUAAACGAUGUCAGCUGUUGGAACCUUCGGGCCUUGGUAGCGCAAACCGCGUGAAGUUGACCGCCUGGGAAUACGGUCAAGAUUAAAACUCAAAGGAAUUGACGGGGACCCGCACAAGCGGUGGAUGAUGUGGAUUAAUUCGAUGCAACGCGAAAAACCUUACCUACCCUUGACAUGUCUGGAAUCCCGAAGAGAUUUGGGAGUGCUCGCAAGAGAACCAGACACAGGUGCUGCAUGGCUGUCGUCAGCUCGUGUCGUGAGAUGUUGGGUUAAGUCCCGCAACGAGCGCAACCCUUGUCAUUAGUUGCUACGAAAGGGCACUCUAAUGAGACUGCCGGUGACAAACCCGGAGGAAGGUGGGGAUGACGUCAAGUCCUCAUGGCCCUUAUGGGUAGAACUACACGUCAUACAAUGGUCAGGACAGAGGGUCGCCAACCCGCGAGGGGAGCCAAUCCCAGAAACCCGAUCGUAGUCCGGAUCGCAGUCUGCAACUCGACUGCGUGAAGUCGGAGAUCGCUAGUAAUCGCGGAUCAGCAUGUCGCGGUGAAUACGUUCCCGGGUCUUGUACACACCGCCCGUCACACACCAUGGGAGUGGGUUUUACCAGAAGUAGUUAGCCUAACCGUAAGGAGGGCGAUUACCACGGUAAGUUCAUGACUGGGGUAAGAGUCGUAACAAGGUAA